GCGGGAGUAGCUCAGUUGGUAGAGCAUCAGCCUUCCAAGCUGAGGGUCGCGCGUUCGAAUCGCGUCACUCGCUCAA
Molecule: transfer RNA, 76 nt
Filed under: Crocinitomicaceae bacterium
Lineage: Bacteria; Pseudomonadati; Bacteroidota; Flavobacteriia; Flavobacteriales; Crocinitomicaceae
Description: tRNA-Gly
Rfam family: tRNA
About the family: Transfer RNA (tRNA) molecules are approximately 80 nucleotides in length. Their secondary structure includes four short double-helical elements and three loops (D, anti-codon, and T loops). Further hydrogen bonds mediate the characteristic L-shaped molecular structure. tRNAs have two regions of fundamental functional importance: the anti-codon, which is responsible for specific mRNA codon recognition, and the 3' end, to which the tRNAs corresponding amino acid is attached (by aminoacyl-tRNA synthetases). tRNAs cope with the degeneracy of the genetic code in two manners: having more than one tRNA (with a specific anti-codon) for a particular amino acid; and 'wobble' base-pairing, i.e. permitting non-standard base-pairing at the 3rd anti-codon position.
Source: RNAcentral